UACGGGGGGGGCAAGCGUUGUUCGGAAUUACUGGGCGUAAAGGGCCAGUAGGCGGCCAACUAAGUCGGAUGUGAAAUCCCCAGGCUUAACCUGGGAACUGCAUCCGAUACUGGAUGGCUUGAAUUCGGGAGAGGGAUGCAGAAUUCCAGGUGUAGCGGUGAAAUGCGUAGAUAUCUGGAGGAAUACCGGUGGCGAAGGCGGCAUCCUGGACCGACAUUGACGCUGAGGCGCGAAAGCGUGGGGAGCAAACAGG
RNAcentral lists this ribosomal RNA (253 nucleotides) under uncultured bacterium. Its description in RNAcentral is "partial 16S ribosomal RNA". It matches the Rfam family "Bacterial small subunit ribosomal RNA", at positions 524 to 776 of the family's 1533-position model. The record is from RNAcentral.